Molecule: ribosomal RNA, 413 nt
Filed under: Stenasellus virei
Lineage: Eukaryota; Metazoa; Arthropoda; Malacostraca; Isopoda; Stenasellidae
Description: partial 16S ribosomal RNA
Source: RNAcentral
AGGUAGCAUAAUCACUUGUUUUUUAAUUGAAAACUAGAAUGAAAGAGUUGACAAAAAGUAAGCUUUUUUUUUAAAAAUUUUAAUUUGACAUAAAGAUAAAAAGGUCUUCAUAUAUUAGAGGGACGAUAAGACCCUAUGAAAUUUUACUUAUAACUAGUUCAUAAUAAAGAUAAUUUAACUUAUUAUAUAAGUUAAGCUGGGGCGGUAUUUAUAUUUACUAUAUUAAAAAAAACACUAAAAAUGAAAUUUUAGAACAUUAAUUUAUAAAUUUAAACAAAUUACUCUAGGGAUAACAGCACAAUUUCUUUUGAUAGCUCAUAUAGACAAAGAAGUUUGUGACCUCGAUGUUGAAUUGGGAUUCAUAUAGUAAAGCAAAAAUUAAUAAUAUUAGUCUGUUCGACUAUUAAACUCCC